AUGAUUAACCUUUUUUUCUCAACUUGCAGAUGAAUGCUGAGAAAUUCUGUAGUCUGAAUGAAGUGCACUUUAAUGAAACAAAUACAAAGCUAGAAGAGUUGACUCGGUUGUCAAAUACCCUGAAAGCACAGAAGACAAAGCUACAGCAUGAAAAUGCUAAGUAAGUCCCUGAAGAAGCUGGAAGAAAAAGAGUCUCUGAUAAAACAACUUCCCAGGGGAAAUAGCCACUUCACUCAGCAAAUUGAAGAACUGAGAGGGCAGCUAAAAGAGUGAGACCAGAGUAAGGCAUAUAUUAUUUCUC
Molecule: long non-coding RNA, 301 nt
Filed under: Fukomys damarensis (Damara mole-rat)
Lineage: Eukaryota; Metazoa; Chordata; Mammalia; Rodentia; Bathyergidae
Description: lncRNA (ENSFDAG00000021675.1)
Source: RNAcentral